AAGUCGUAACAAGGUUUCCGUAGGUGAACCUGCGGAAGGAUCAUUAAACGUAUCCAACGUUAAAACAACAGCCCGUGAAAACAGCAAUCCCUGGUAAAUCAUUGUUGACCAGCUUUUGAGUCAGGGACCUCUGCCGAUUGUGAUAUUUUAUAGCUACGGUUGAGCGAUUGCAUCUAGUGACCUGGCAUCCCCAAGUAAUCAGUGUCUGAAAGUGUCAUUGAUUAUGUAAGGAUGGCGCAGUCACGAUCGCUGUAGGCCCACACGGCCGCACCGGGCUCUGCCCCUUUACGACAACACAGUACCGUGAAAUUC
RNAcentral lists this unclassified non-coding RNA (312 nucleotides) under fungal sp. RNAcentral's name for it is "partial internal transcribed spacer region". The stretch from base 1 to 46 matches the Rfam family "Eukaryotic small subunit ribosomal RNA", at positions 1786 to 1831 of the family's 1831-position model. Lineage: Eukaryota; Fungi. The record is from RNAcentral.